This is a long non-coding RNA of Neopelma chrysocephalum (saffron-crested tyrant-manakin), 274 nucleotides long. RefSeq lists it as uncharacterized. The transcript is spliced from 3 exons. NCBI's taxonomy places the organism in Eukaryota, Metazoa, Chordata, Aves, Passeriformes, Pipridae. The record is from RefSeq and is a predicted model, not a curated record.
AGUGAUGGGAAAUGCAGCUCCUGGGGCAAUGCCUUGGCCAGGGACAGGAGCCCUUUGGACAGUCAGCAGAGAGGGCACGUGCUCCCUUCUCCCUCCAGUGAUCCUCAGCUGCAAACUAACCAGACAUCAGGUCUCCUGCUGCCAGUGAUGACCCAAAGUUUCUGCUGUUCUGAAAGACAGACAGUUCCCUCUCCCUGACAGGGCCAGCAGGGCACACCAGGAUGGGAAGCUGGUGCAAUGUUUUCCCUGGUUCACUGAACCAUUUAAAGCAGGU